GGCCCGGCCCUGCCCUGCCCGGCCGCCACGGAGCGCGGCUGCGGAGCGGGCUGGAAAGGCGGAGGGGCGGCGAGCCCGUGCGGUGCCCAGGUAAAAGAAGGACCACCUAUGUGGAUGCCACAGCCCAUGCCACAGGUUAAACAUUUCCACCUUGUGAGUCCAAACCAACGAAACAGCGACUAAACCUCUUCAUUCCAGGUUGGCUGCCACAUAGAUGUGGGUGUCACCCCCAGAAGACUGAAACCUGCAUUGUGCCGAUAUUUUUGGCUGAAAUGCUGUACAUAAAUCAAGACGAGCAAGAGGGACAGAAGGGACCACAGAUGAGUAAAGCCACUCCAAAAGGAACAACUCCAGAAUAUCUCAGCAGGAACAGAGGAACAAUGGCAAAGGACUGAACACAAACACUUCCCACUUUAGAAGCAGAGUUCCACAAGGAUGGAAACAACAUAUGGAGGGAAAGGGAAACAGACUGAAGAUGAGGAAGCAGAUGAGGAUCAGAGAAAUGAAGCUGUGGAGAAGACAUCAUGGGGUUUGUAGGUUUCUCCUGCAGGUCAGAGCACAUGAAACUAGGAAUGGAGAGACAAGCAGCACUUCAAAAAUGUCUGGUUUUAGAAGCCCAAUUGCUCUUCAAUUAGCACAUAGCUCUUUUCUUAAUAAACUCCCUUGUAUCUCUGGACACAACCAAUGGUGAUUUGCAUUCUCUCCCACAAAAGACAGUGAAAGCAAUUAGUGGAAAAGUGAGUAACUAUUAUUAAUAGUUACAUUUUCUGCCUGGGCUGGCAGGGCCAGUGGGGCUGUAACAACCACCAGCUCACAGUAAAACGACCUACAGCAAGCUGCUCAGCCACACAGAGCACCAGGGAGAAAUCAGUCCCUCCAACAGAUUCUCCCUCAUUGCAUCAGUCAAGCUUAUGUAGAAACAUGCAGCAUUUAAAGGCCACAUUAGCAGACACAUCCUUAGACUGCUGCAGAGAUGAUGUCUACAAUCACAUUAUCUGCCCCCUCAGAUUUACCUGAUCUUUUGAAUUGUUCUUUGCAGUAUACUUGAAGGAUUUCUUGCUUGACUGAAACAUUCCAUUAUUUAUUUCUUAUAGGAAACAAAAAACAUUAUCAGAUUCAGAGCUCUUUCUUUGCAAGAGUCCCCUCACAGCCCCAAUUAAUAAGGGGAAGCAAAAUCACUCAGGUGUUGCCUGAUGUUAACUUGAGACACCUGCCAUGGUGGCAAAGCUGAGCAGAAGAGUGUCUGAAAGAAGGGCUGAAAGCAACUGUGAAUUAUUUUCCAAGUUACCCUGCUGUGCCAGUUUUAGGCAGUUUUCAUCCUGCCUCCUGUUAAUCUGCACUUGCUUCUUCCCUACUGUGUUCCUGCUUGCUGCUCUCUUCUGUGCAAAUCUUCCAACUUUCAGCCACAACACUGAAACGCUCUCUCACUUCUUGGUCCAUACAUUUCCUGCUUUAAAAUGCCAACACCUCUGCUUUUGCCCACAAAACAGUGUAGUUCUACUAUUCAAUAGCUUUUAGCUAUACCAUAGCUUUCAGUUCCAUUGCAUAUUCAUCUUGAAAAUUAAAUUUUAGCAGGCAAUGAUCCCUGCUACUUUUCCCCUGGACCAGGCUUUGCCAGACACUUUCUCAUUAUGUCACUUGGAUUCAAUUUCACUUUCCUUCAGACUAAAUAUUGCCACAGAUACCCAAUACUUUCACUCUGCUAUAUAAAAAUAGAGAGACCUUUCAUCCACUUUUUUUUUUUUUCAAUUCUAGCACUGUUCAUAUGCAAUACGACAGAAACUUUUGCUGCCAGCGUUUCUGGUUUCUCCCCAAACUCCCAACCAAUUGGUUGCAUUCAGACAGCUGGAGUCUAGCCCUGUAUUAUUAAUGUGAGGAGAAGUGUUUCCAUUCACCCUAGUGCCCAGGAGCUGGAUGUAGCCCCUGCACACCUGAAAUCCAAGAACACCCCUGUGGCAUGUGGCACAGGACAUUCCGGGAGCUGCAGGCCACGGCCUCCUUUUUAAUGGGCUUGUUUCCUCUCAGUGCUUUAGAGCAGCAGGAGAAUAAAAGGUUAUGUUUGUAAAAAAUAUCACUGCUUCAAAUUGCAGUAACAUAUGUGGCUUUUCCCGAUAUAUUGCCACUAAAGGGCUUUACAGCUUCCCUUGCCCAUUACCUAUAAACCAGCCUCCUUGCUUCCACUGCCUCCCUCUUUGGCUGCUAGUGGAAUUGGGAAAAACUGUUUUACUGGCAAAAAAACCCCAUAAAGUAGGUGUGGAGACACCCGUGAUGAGUACUGUGUAGAGAGGGGCUCAGUGGGACAUUGAUAUUUAGGCAUGACACUAAAUCCCUAAAUUAGUCUUGAGGAAUUGAAGAAAUACCUGAAAGACUCUUGAUGUGGAAAAGAAGCUACUAAACUCAAGGCCCUUCCUGCCUGACUUUGCAGACAGCCACCUGAUGCAUAGCUGGGUGCAUUUUGGGCCAUAGCAGCGUGAAAGCACCCAGGAUGCAUCCAGCUACAGGAGCUGAAGUUAGUGAUUGAAAGGCUUUUUUAGGUGCAUUUUCUGUGCAAAACGCUUUUCCUCGAUAGAGGUGGCAGCAGCAGGGUGGAGACAAUCACCACAAGGUUUGACAGUCUGUUCAAACACAAGUCAUCCUCCCCAGAGGUAAAUGACCCUCUUUUACUCACCUCACAGUUUUCUUGUGGGGCUACAGCAGAUGCUGUGAUACCAAUAUAGCCAUGGCAGCAGCACCUAGCUGUAAGCAUUAGCCAGAAAGAGCAGCCUAUGGAAAAGAGGUGCUGUAAAAUAGCCCAUUACUUCAUGGAAUGGAUUCCAGGAAAACACGUUACAUUUUGAUUACGGAUAUUCAGAGCGGGAACUGCUAGUACAGCACUUGAGAUAAGGAAGAGGCCAGAUAGACCUAAAUAGCAAAGCUUGGUAUGACUUCUUAUGUAAUUGUCAGCGCCCCAUCACCAUGAGGUCUGCGUGUCUCGGGCAGCUAAAAAUAGAGCAGCUUCCCCUUGCCUUUCUCACCCUCCAGCCUGCGUGAGGAAAGACCUGACUCACUCACUUGUGUUCGGGACAGCCCUCUGAGCCCCCAUGGGCUUUCCUUUCAAAGGCAAUAUAAGAAUAAUACUGACUUUGUAAGAGUAUUUUCAUAAUAGGAUUUUUUUUCCAUGUGGCACACUCGCAAGAUGCUGGGGCUUUCACGGUCAUUGCCAAUGUUUGAUAAUACUGAGAUGAGACAUUUGAGUUCCUUUGCAUAAAAGGAAACAUCCUAUAGGCUGGAAUGGAAACGUGGGUAAGACUUCUUCCAAACUGCUUAUUUAAAAAGUGACAUUCUUUGAGAGAGAAGACUUGGAAACCCUGCCCCUAGAAAUACAAUGUUUACAUUAACUUCUGGUUACUGCCAUAAGGCAUGCCAGAUUAAGGUGUGAGGAUAAUAUUAAUUCAUUGCCUGCUAUUUAUUCAUGGUUCCUGGAGAGGGUCCCAGGCAUAUGUUUUGGUGACAAUUCCAGCUGUGCAUUUGAAUCUAUCACUGAAAUUCAUCAUAUUAUGCAGAUAGAAAUACUAAGUGGCGAAAUUUGGACCCCAGUUGAGAUCCAACAUCUCAGUUGUUGCAUUGCUUGGAUCUUGAGGAUUGUUUUGUAUUUCUGAUGUAAUACAUACAGCUGAAACCCAGAUAUUUCAGUGACUUUGACCACAUCCUGCAGUCAGGGAGUGUGAAGUGUCUGAGUUUGGGCUGGAAAGAGGAGGAGACCGCCACAACACUGUCUGCUCAGACUUCAUCCCAGCCUCUGCCUCUGUUAAAUGAGGAUAAUUACACUUUCUUGCCUGUCAGAAGAGCUGGGAGAUGGCCUGUUGAUAAGUUAUUCCUCACAGUGCUUGCCAACUGCUUAAAUAUAGUCUGUAAAUAUUUUGUGAAUGCUUUGUAACUGUAAACACGUCACAUUUCUGCUCCAAGUCUUUCAGAUUUUUGCACAACUCCCAAGGAAUGCUGUCACAAGAGCAGGGGUAAGAGGGCAGGGAACUCUGGGGUGGGACAGGAGGAGACAAGGGUCCAGACAAGGGUGUCUGGGGCAAGGACAAGGACAAAUGACACAGGAUGUCCUCCUGGGAUGAGCAGCCAGAGCAGCUUUGCAGUCCACCCAAGGCAUUCAGUGGUUUCACUGUGUUCCUAUACCAAAGGGACAGAGCUCCUGGGUUUGGACACUCACCUGUAAGAGGAAACAAUGAGUGGAGAUGGUGCAGCCUCAGUGGGGCUCCAAGAAAGGUGCCCACCAGGCAAUGAUCAUCCAUUCUCCCCCACCCCACAAGAACUGGAGGGCACCGAGUGAAGUUGCAAGCAAAGGGAGGCUCUGUUUAGUGUAAAUCCCAGUUAAACUGCAGAGCCAGUGGAACAUUUUCACAGUUAGGCUUUUGCAUGAGUCCCAGGAGCAAUUUCAUAAAUCCAUGGAAGAGAAGAGGUCUGUGAAAGCUUAUUAAAUACCAUUUCUGGCCUAGAAUCACCAGAAGUUCCUGGAGAACGGAGCAGGAAAGUUUUGGUACCCAUUUUGCUUCUCUUUGUGGUUACUUAUUGCUGGUCACUGUUGGAGACAAGAUACUGACUCAACUGGACCCUUGGUCUGAGUAUGUAUGUUUUUUUGUUUGGUUGGUUUUGUUUUGUUUUGUUUCUGUGCAAAGAAAAUCUUGUUUCUAUCUAUUCAGGCUGUAGAGACAAGCUUGAAAAGAAGGUCAAGACUUAAGAAAAUUCACUGUGGUAGUCCUCUGCUUUUUACCCAAUUUGAUGAUAAUGUUAGAGUCUGGCUUGAGUGUUUGUCAUCACUUUUCCUGGCCUUGCUGUAUCCACUGGAGUCCAGCCCCAGAUUUUAGGAGCACAAUGGAGGGGACUUCCUUACCACCCGCCUUUGACCUUGGCAUCUCCAUUGAUUCCCACCUACAGACUGAUUUUCUCCCUUUUUUUAGCUUGGGUUAUUGAAACUGCUGAUUUUUCUGUAGCCUGUGGUAAAAGAGUUUUCAGUAUUUUAACAGCAGUGAUGUUCCAGAAGUGCACAACCACCUUUUCUGAAACAGAGGCAUGUGAAGAAGAGACUCAAACCGUCAAAUUUUUAGGGUGGUUGAAACCUACCCUUACACAAGUUUGGAAACAGCACCUCAGUUGAAUCGGAAACAUGCCAUGGGAGUUUCUCCUCUGGAAAUUUUAGUUGUUAAUUCUUGCUGGAGAGGAAGAGCUUUACCCAAAAGCAUAGGUCUUGGUACAUCAGGAGCACCAGAGCAUGGCAGAACAACCCAAUCGUGAAGGACCAUCUGCCAGGCACCCUCAGCACAGCUCAGAAGCUGCUCCAGGAAAAAUCAUCACAUAGGAGAAAUAAAUCCAGACCUGCACAAAACCAAAGGCUUUCUGAGUAAGCAUCCUAUGCCAGUAGGGAUGCAAGCCAAGGCAUCCAUGAUAAAAAAAAAAAAAACAAAAACCCCCAGUCACUCCCCAAACAGGCAAGAUAGUAAAACCCUGAAAAAAGAAGUCUUUUUUUCACUUGCCCAUUUCCCUUGGCCUUUGCAGACCAGACCAUCUGUCAGCCUAAAGUCUGGGGGGACAAGGCAUGUAGGAGAGAGCCCCAGGAGCUUGGCAGGGAGUUCAGCACUUGCUGCUGGGCUCUGAUGCACCAAAAUAAGGUUUUAAGCUAUACUGUGAUGGAAAGACAAUUUGGUGCCAGGAGGAAAAGGCCACACCACCUCAACUCCCGGCCCCAGAAAAGUGUGUCGCUUUUGUGAGGAGGGAAAAAUAACACAACGCAGGCUCAGCCCUGCCAGGCAGCUGAAGUUCAAGUUAUUUCCACAUUACAAAAUACCUUAGGGGACAUGCAAUUUUUCCACUAAAGUUUACAAAAAGGAUAACAGAGAUCCUACUGGUCUCUUGGCAGUUUUCCUCCUCAGUGAAUGAGAAGCAGUUCCUUGCUCAAUGGCUGUGCGUUGUCAGGAAAUUGACUGCGUUUCUUCAGCAGGACUCCUGCUUUGUGACUCUCCUGACAGUCACACAUGCGCUGAGACUCAAAGCAACGUCAGCCUGUUUAAAACCAUCAGCAAGCAGAAUCAGCCAUUAUUAAAGGACUUGCGAAUGAGAGUGGAUCUUGGGGUGCUGGCCUCCUCAAUAACACGACUGCCUGCUGCCAGAGGCCUGGGCAAAAGGCAGGGACUUAUCUAAACCCACAUCAUCCAUUCAUGACAACCAUGCACCACUGGUAACAGCAGCAGCCCUUCUCCUCACCUCUUAGUGCAUAUGUCUUUGGCUGAUUGAAUCCAGAACAAGGUCCUGAAGAUGACAAGGGUCUUCUGGAGCUUUGCUUUAAGGUGAAGAAUGCAGCUGACCUUUUAAAUAGAAAUGCCUGUGUGAUACAUAACUACAAAUAUUGAAGAAAAAUGUUUCAGAGUAAAAAAUGUCAAUAUAUUGUAUAAUUCACUAAUCCCUACAGACGUUUUCUCUCAGGGGAUUUUACAAUGAAAUAUUGGCACCAGGGUUGCUGACACACAGUCAUCUCCUCAUGCUGGCACAGGGGAGAGUCGGUAACAGUGGAUUUACACCUGGCUUUGACGUUUUGCAGUUAGCUUUUCAUGUCCUGCUACAGCCUGUAGCACUAACAAGUACAACCAGAGGGCAUCCCAGACACACCAUAAAACAAGUAAAAUAUGUGGACAGGCAUCUGAACUCUUAGUAAGCCAUAAUGUAUGUUAAUACAUGGGUAAAAGUGACAGGUACAACAAAGGCAUCCCAGCACCAAACUUUUCACCUAAAUUGUCCAUUCAAGGUGCAGACAGAGCAUUGAUCACGGACUGAGAUUAUGGAUGAGGUGCAAAGCUGGGGGGAAAGUAAGGAAAUUAAAAAAGAGGGUAUUUGCCUCCCAGCGUUUUCCAGUUUUUGCACAUCACAACACAAACUUUUUUCAGGCAGUGGGGUGGAAGGGGUUCCUUGUUCAGGUGCAUCUCCUGCAAGGAGUGAAAUGGAUGAAUGUCUGGGGACUGAGUGAGCUUUCUGAAAGAACAUCGUGUUUCAUACCAGCCCAAAGCUGCAAGAUUCAUUAAAAUUCAAGUAAGUAAAUUUUCUUAUUUGGAAACUUUAUCUAACCAUUGAUUUAACUAUUAAAAAAUACCGUUGUCCGUGAUAAAAGAAAAUGUUUACACUUAUGGUCUGGAUUUUCUGUUACUCAUGAAAACUGGAACACAUCCUAUAAUUGUGCUAUACAGAGUUUUAGCAGAAACAAACAAUUACUGAUUAACUUUCAUUCAGAUUUAGGACAAAAAUCAAAGUCUGCUGUCAGAGUUUUGAUGUAUUAACUUUGGCUAUUUUUUUUCAGUUUUGUUCACCUGAUACCUGACAUCCCAGUUGAAGUCAUUGUAUUUCAAAAGUAGCUGAGCAACUUCAGGUUUUACCAAGUCAGUGAACUCUAAAUUUAGAUGUUAUGCACUCCAGCAGGUGAGUGCUUGCACCUGAGCAGCCUAAAUGACUUGAAAAUAAAGUCAUAUAUAUAUGUACCUUACUAUUAACUGGACAAGAGCACAGGUUUCAGAAACCUUGACUCAACUUUUUUAUUGCUCCUCCUGGCUCCAAAAAUAAUGAUUGAAUAAGAAAAACAAACAAUGGAUAAUUCAGUUUAAUUCCUAAGAAUUUUUUAUUCCAUUUGAGUGAACCAAUACAUUCCUUUGUGAAACAGGAAGCAACAAUAAUUAGUGUACAUUUUUAUGUGCCAUCUAUUCUAAUGUGGCAACAGAGAAACUUGCAAAAUUUUCCUGCAUUGUGGUAGUCAAUUUGAGACCCAUUUACUCUGUGACUGAUGUUUCUGUGGAAGUCUCACAGUGACUGCAGUAAGUCUAUCCGAUAUUUCGUACAACUUCGUGUUUUAUCUACCACUAUCCCGUUUGGAAUUUUAGCCUGCUUCAGUUUCAAUAAGCAGUGAUCUUGACAGUAGCUUCUGAAGCAAUGGUACUAACAGUGUAUGACACUAACAGCAUAAAAGUGAAACAUUGUUUGCACAUACCUCAAGCCUGCUAAUUUUCUGAGACAUGCUCACAGUACCAGCACAGUAACAGUACCAAACACAUGCAAGAGAUCACUGGAGAGUCUUUCUGUAGGCUAACAAGUAGAAUGCAAGACUUCAGACACAGAGGAAUUUGUUGACUAUGACUUCAGGUCCUCCUUCCUUCAUCCUGCCAAAACCUAUGGCAAUACCUUGCCUACAGUCUUACCUGUAUAAAUCUGUCAUAAUCUGAGUGCAAAAUCUACUCCAGAGCAUGUUUUUAUAACAUGGAACACCAAAUGCAUUUUCUAUUCUUGUUUUGGAGUAAUUACAACAGUGAAAGUCAGGUCUAAGGCUUGGAAGCCCUGAAAGAACACUUGCUUCCUAACAUCUGGCUCAAGGUGAAAGGAGAUACAGCAGCUGAGGAUUUAAAAUGCAAGAAUAAGUAAGGUCACUGACUGCAUAGUGUAGGGAAAAAAAAAAAUCAGAGGGCAGGUUCAGCAAAAAAAAAAAGGACGAGAAUCCAAGAUGGCAGGACAGUAUGUUUGGCUGAGGACUAGGCCUGCCCAUUUCUCAUGAGCAUAAUACAUAAUUAAGAUUUGAUUACUCAUUGUGGCCAAAACUAUGCAGUGGAUGAAAACCUGGCACUGUGGAACUGCAAGUGAGCACGUCCCUGUCCCAGUCCCCGGCAGCUGUCCUGCACUCUCUGCUCACUGUGCCAGUCCUCAAAUGGAGGAAUUGCCCUUGGAAUUGCUGAGCUCAUUGUAGAUGACCUUGGCAUGAUUCCUGGACCCGUCCGAAAACUCAGCAUGCAGUGGGCACAGGCUUUGGCAGCCUGGCUGCAGGAACAGCAGCCUGCUGCUGCCCCAGCUGAGCCUUGGUCCCCCAGCACCACACACCAGGGCUACACAAAGGGAACCACAUGCAUGAUGUGGCUCCACCACCGAUUUCCUCCCUGCUUUCCAUGGUAAGGAAGCAUGAGGGUCUCUACCCAGUAGAGCACCUCAAAAAAUAGCAGCAUUAAGAGUGUCAGCAUUGCAUUAGGCAGCCUGGCACAGCAAUUGCCUCUGUAACCCACCAGUGCUUUUUUUUUUUGUCUUUUUCUAAAAAUUGUACAGUCUGUAUCAAAAGCAAGUGUCUCAGUCCUCUUGAAGGUCUGCUGUGCUGGCACCUUGCAGAGCCCUAGGUCUGCAAGUUUGGAAGCAUUCUUCUCUCUCCUGCACUGCUUUGGGUUUAAUUUGUCCUUUAGUGGUGUUCCGGUCUAGCUUGCUGCAAACAAAAUUUGUGUUAUCUUUUUUUGUAAUGAAAACAGUAAUUAAAAACACUUCUAUGCUUUCCAUCUGGUUUUUGCAUCAAGAAAACAGGCAAAGAGAAAUUACUUCCCGAGUUCAGCCAGUGCAUACACAAAACCUGGAAAUUCUCUCAGUGAUCUCUUGCACAAUAUAGGAUACAGCCAAGGAAAUAAACUGAGACUAUGAACAUAAACUCUCACUCUCUUGUUGAAUGUCUGAACACUAUUAGUCUCACUGGACCAAAUAUUUGCACUGUUAUAUCCAGAGGAGCACCUGCUUUCUACUAAUAUAUACUGGUAUUAGCUGAAGAACAAUGUAGUUCAGCUUGUUGUCUAGGUUUGAAAAUCAGAGACUGAAGGGGUAGACCUGGAGAAAUGGGAAAAUGAGUGAUGAAAGGAAGAAUGCAGUUAGGAAUAAAAUGCUAGGACAGUCCUGUGAGCCUGAACCA
Long non-coding RNA from Corvus hawaiiensis (hawaiian crow), 9730 nucleotides. RefSeq lists it as uncharacterized. NCBI's taxonomy places the organism in Eukaryota, Metazoa, Chordata, Aves, Passeriformes, Corvidae. The record is from RefSeq and is a predicted model, not a curated record. The transcript has 7 exons.